ACCUCAAAUCAGGUAGGAAUACCCGCUGAACUUAAGCAUAUCAAUAAGCGGGAGGAAAAGAAAAUAACAAAUGAUUCCCCCAGUAACUGCGAGUGAAGAGGGAUAAGCUCAAAUUUUAAAUCCGUCAGGUGCUACCUGACCGAGUUGUAAUUUGAAGAAGCGUUUUCCGCGCGUUUUGGCCAGCCCAAGUUCCUUGGAACAGGGCAUCAUGGAGGGUGAGAAUCCCGUUUGGUUGGUCAGGUGCGCUUUACGAUACGCUUUCAAAGAGUCAAGUUGUUUGGGAUUGCAGCUUAAAAUGGGAGGUAAAUUUCUCCUAAGGCUAAAUACCGGCGAGAGACCGAUAGCGAACAAGUACCGUGAGGGAAAGAUGAAAAGCAUUUUGAAAAGAAAGUCAAAUAGCACGUGAAAUUGUUGAAAGGGAAACGAUUGAAGUCAGUCGUACCGAUGAGUAUUCAGCCUCUCGGGUGUGAUUAUGUUGGAAGUGGGAAGAUCCUGCUCUGUCAUAUUCGUGCUUCUGAGGUGUACCUGCUCGUAUGGUAGGUUAACAUCAAUUUUGAUCGUUAUAAAAUGACGGGGGGAAUGUGGCUUCAUUUUUUGAAGUGUUAUAGCCUCUGGUAGAUGUGAUGAUCGGGAUUGAGGAUUGCAACGGAAUACCCUUUGGGCCACUCGUCUGAUCUCUGAUCGUCGCUUUGGUGCCGAAAGCAUGCUUAUGGUAUCGAAGUAGGUGGUCAAAAGGUUAGAACGGGUUAAAUUCGUUAAGGAUGUUGACGUAAUGACUUUAAACGACCCGUCUUGAAACACGGACCAAGGAGUCUAGCAUAUAUGCGAGUGUU
This 833-nucleotide ribosomal RNA is filed under the name uncultured fungus. RNAcentral's name for it is "eukaryotic LSU rRNA". It matches the Rfam family "Eukaryotic large subunit ribosomal RNA", at positions 1 to 694 of the family's 3401-position model. Lineage: Eukaryota; Fungi. The record is from RNAcentral.